CCAUUCACCUAAUAAUAUCAACGAAUAUGACAGAAAAUGCAAUUAGAUCACAGUUGCAAAUACAUGAUAUUCUUUUGAAGGAUGAAAAGAUCGUGAAGGAAAACUUGGUGGUAGGUCCUGAAGUUCUAAGGCAUCUUUGUGAUAGGGGUGUGCAGGAGUUUAUUUUCUUGACUUCAACUUAAUGAAACUAGAGUUCCAGAAA
Theobroma cacao (cacao) is the source of this 202-nucleotide non-coding RNA. The record is from RefSeq and is a predicted model, not a curated record. NCBI's taxonomy places the organism in Eukaryota, Viridiplantae, Streptophyta, Magnoliopsida, Malvales, Malvaceae.